UAAUUUAUAUUUUAAUUAAGAUUAUGAAAUUUAUUAUUUAGUUAUGAUUGGGGUGAUUUUUAAAGAUUAUUAAUCUUUAAAAUUUUUUAAUAAAAAAGUUCCAUUAGUAGUGAUUUUUUGAUAAAAAUACUCUAGGGAUAACAGCGUUAUUAUUUUGGAUAGUUCAUAUAGAUAAAAUAGUUUGCGACCUCGAUGUUGGAUUAGGAUUCUUUUAUGAUGAAGAAGUUAUAAGGGAGAAGUUUGCUCAACUUUUAAAGUCCUACUUGAUCUGAGUUCAGACCGGG
RNAcentral lists this ribosomal RNA (284 nucleotides) under Ornithodoros coriaceus. RNAcentral's name for it is "partial 16S ribosomal RNA". The stretch from base 137 to 284 matches the Rfam family "Bacterial large subunit ribosomal RNA", at positions 2473 to 2620 of the family's 2925-position model. The record is from RNAcentral. Lineage: Eukaryota; Metazoa; Arthropoda; Arachnida; Ixodida; Argasidae.